Molecule: ribosomal RNA, 427 nt
Filed under: uncultured bacterium
Lineage: Bacteria
Description: bacterial SSU rRNA
Rfam family: Bacterial small subunit ribosomal RNA
Source: RNAcentral
UAGGGAAUAUUGGGCAAUGGGGGCAACCCUGAUCCAGCCAUGCCGCGUGAGUGAAGAAGGCCCUCGGGUUGUAAAGCUCUUUUGUCCGGAAAGAAAAGCUUCGGGUUAAUACCCCGGGGUUCUGACGGUACCGGAAGAAUAAGCACCGGCUAACUUCGUGCCAGCAGCCGCGGUAAUACGAAGGGUGCAAGCGUUACUCGGAAUUACUGGGCGUAAAGCGUGCGUAGGUGGUUGUUUAAGUCUGAUGUGAAAUCCCCGGGCUUAACCUGGGAACUGCGUUUGUGACUGCAAGGCUGGAGUACGGCAGAGGGGGGUGGAAUUCCACGUGUAGCAGUGAAAUGCGUAGAGAUGUGGAGGAACACCGAUGGCGAAGGCAGCCCCCUGGGCCUGUACUGACGCUCAUGCACGAAAGCGUGGGGAGCAAACA